ACAACAUAUAAGCCGAAUUUCACGGCAUGGUCACAAAGGGUGGCCAGGAUGUGGAAGCCGGGGGCCCACAACAGGAUCCAAAUGGAUCCACCCCCUGGGGUGAAUGGCCGCAAGGAUAGCGCGACAAGCGCUACGGAGUGAGCCAGGGCUGGCUCUCAAGCCCAACCCGACAGCUAACCCGGUAGGCACUGAGAUGAUAU
This 200-nucleotide small RNA is filed under the name Corynebacterium riegelii. RNAcentral describes it as "c-di-AMP sequence". It matches the Rfam family "c-di-AMP riboswitch aptamer (ydaO/yuaA leader)". Rfam says of the family: This family represents a conserved RNA structure found upstream of the ydaO and yuaA genes in Bacillus subtilis and related genes in other bacteria. Lineage: Bacteria; Bacillati; Actinomycetota; Actinomycetes; Mycobacteriales; Corynebacteriaceae. The record is from RNAcentral.